This is a long non-coding RNA of Mytilus californianus (California mussel), 2782 nucleotides long. RefSeq lists it as uncharacterized. Lineage: Eukaryota; Metazoa; Mollusca; Bivalvia; Mytilida; Mytilidae. The transcript is spliced from 3 exons. The record is from RefSeq and is a predicted model, not a curated record.
UGAUCUUCUGUUUGUGAUAGCUUGAUAUUCAAUACAUUUGUACUUCAUUGACUUUAAUGACAUAACUCUGUCUAUUCACAUUCCAUCUGAUGAACAUAAUAUGUAACCUACAAAACGUCAAUAUUUAAAAAAUGGCGAUAGAUUUAACAUAUAACAACGAGAUUUAGUAGUUCAAUUACAAAAUAUUUCCGAAAAGCAAAGAUACGAAGCCACAAGUUGGUAUCUUCAACGUAAACGACAUGUACAGGAGGGUCAAGAUUAAGGUCAUAUUGAACCUGUAAAUAUAAUUAGUAGUAACACUCGGACCAACGACGAUGAGGAUUUAUCAUCUGUUUUUUGUGUAAUAAAGUUUUGAAAAAUAUCAGAAAAGAGUAACCAAAAAUUGUCUUUACAACAAUCACCAGCUCAGGUCUUCGUUCGUUUGUUCAAGCUAAUUAAAAUCCAUAUGAUUCAUUGAAGCCGCUGACCCAGAUUUAUAUCACAUUAAUAUAAGUGACCAUUCAAACCUGUCGGCAUUUAAAAUGUCUAACAGAAAAGAAAGAAGCAAAAUCGGAGCAUGCUGUUUGUUCAAUGUACGCAAGAAAAAAAACCACAAAUACAUGUACAGAAACGAUGGAGGAAAGCAUUCAGGAAAGCAUUCAGGAAAACAUUCAGGAAAGCAUUCAGGAAAGCAUUCAGGAAAGUUUCUACAUAACAGGAUGUGAAGCAUUAUCAAAUGGUUUCUAUGUAGUUAAUAGUCUUAACAAACGUUUAGCUGUACUGAACCGCAGUGGUGUACAUUUGAAAGAUAUCGUUCAAUUCACUAGCAUUCCAUUAGAUGUGUGUUACAUUAAGAGCAGAAACAUAACUGCUGUUACGAUCACAUGGUUGUUUUUGUUGAUACAAAAGAACGUAAAAUUGUCGAGUCAGUUGUUUAUAGACUGAAGUGUUAUUACAUAAAAUGUAACGACAACAAUUUGUUUAUUGGUUGUCCAAAUAAUGGUAAAAUCAUUGUUGCUGACUUUUUUGGUCGUGAACUCGGAUAUCUUAAUAUUCCCGGUGAUAGAUUUGCAGUAACUCAUGACAGUAUUUAUGCCAUACAUGAGAAAGAAGACCUUGUAUUAUGUUAUGAUAUCCAAGGUAACCAGGGAUGGAUUGCUCCAGAUAUAGUUCGAGAUCCUAUAGGAAUAGAAGUGGAUGAAGACGGUUAUGUAUACGUGUUUAGCAAACACAAUACUCUUCAUUUAAUAUCACCAAAUGGAUUCAGAAACAGAAUUGUUUUAGAUGGUUCGGACGGCCUUGAUGAUCAUGAAUAUAUGAUGUGUAUGGAAAGAAGAUUUCGUAUCAAAUAUUUUCUAGCGAUUUUAAGUAAGUCAAAUAAUCGACCUAUAGCUUACCAUUACCCUGGCUUAACAAUCGGUCGUUUCUGACUCCAUUUGUAUUGGACAACACUUGAAGGCAUGCGACUACCAUAUUUUGGCAUAUGCCUUCAACUGAUGACGAUUAUUUUGUAAAGAUCAAAAGACUAAUCAAAGCAUGUUGUACGUUAUACACGAAAAAUGUGUAUACUUUAUUAUAUUUUUUUUUAUUUACAUGGUAUUAAACACACUGAAUCAGAAUAUGAAUCUGUUUGAAGAAAAAAACAUUUGCAAGUUAACCUAGUUUAAAUAAUUUAUUACCUUUUUACCAAAUAUAGUCGAUUUUUUUCACAUGCUACUUGUAUAUGUAAAGCAUUCAGGUGAACAUGUUUUGUCUUUUUUAAAACAGUUAUAAGAAAAAUGCUAUUCAGUUAUUCUGGGAUAUAACAUAUUUAUCCAUGAGUCACUUUUAUACUUUGGUAUAUUUUUUUACUGUUGUGACCGAGUAAUACUAAUAGAAUUAAGAAUGGGAAAGGGGAAUGUGUCGAAGAAUAACAACCAACAUUUGGAUAAUUGACCUAGCUAGAUACCUGCUGACGUAUACAUGUAUUUUCUUGGUACCAUGAAUAGUGAAUGAGGUUAAGAGCGCUGGUAAGUAUCUAUCCCACAUUCUACUGCCUGUAUCAAGUCACGAUCUCCGGUCUUUUGAUGAACAUUUCUCUGUUGAAUUGUUUACAUUAAUGAUACGGAGCUAGAUGUAUAUGUAGGACAGACAAGAAACACACAUUGAAACAUUGUGAAAUAUAUAAUCAAUGUAGUUUAUGGAUUUGAAGCAGCAGUUUUACAAUGAAGGCGCCCAAGUUAUGGUACAGUAGCUCAUCAAGAGUUUGUAGUCAAUAAAAUAUCCGACAUUGAGAUAAUGAGUUUUAUAGUAUUUUUUUACUGAGACAAUGGCCAUGAUUGCUUUUAAACUAUCAGAAAAAUAAGACUAUAUAUCAGAAAAGUAACACUCGAAAACAUUGGUAGCAAAGACACAUUUUUUUAAUGUUUUUGGCAUUUUUAAUUGCUAUUGUGUGACAGUGUUGGACGAUUUACCGCCAUUCUAAGGAAAACGUUCGGUUGCAUACAUGUAUUUCGAGUAUUAUCACUUAAUUGGUUAAUAUAAGUACGUAGGAUGUUUUCGUAACCAAAUAUUGUAACGAAAACUUUAUGUAGUAACAUCUGUGUACAUUAAUCAUUCCACAUGCAUUUUGUUGUGUUUUCAAAUGGCGGACCCGAAUGACGAAAACGAUAAACCAUCGUACAGUACCAAUUUCAUACUGUGAUGAACAUUGGCAUUAUUUGCAAAUAAUAAAUAGGUCGCUUACUAGUUUCAAUUGUCAUGAGCAAUACUGAUAUUGUAUUCUACUUUGUCUGGAGGUAAACCUAAAUAAAACGACAAGUUU